UGCAAGUCGAGCGGACUGAUGGGAGCUUGCUCCCUGAAGUCAGCGGCGGACGGGUGAGUAACACGUGGGUAACCUGCCUGUAAGACUGGGAUAACUCCGGGAAACCGGGGCUAAUACCGGAUAGUUCUUUUCCUCGCAUGAGGAAAAGUGGAAAGGCGGCUUCGGCUGCCACUUACAGAUGGACCCGCGGCGCAUUAGCUAGUUGGUGAGGUAACGGCUCACCAAGGCAACGAUGCGUAGCCGACCUGAGAGGGUGAUCGGCCACACUGGGACUGAGACACGGCCCAGACUCCUACGGGAGGCAGCAGUAGGGAAUCUUCCGCAAUGGACGAAAGUCUGACGGAGCAACGCCGCGUGAGUGAUGAAGGUUUUCGGAUCGUAAAGCUCUGUUGUUAGGGAAGAACAAGUGCCGUUCGAAUAGGGCGGCACCUUGACGGUACCUAACCAGAAAGCCACGGCUAACUACGUGCCAGCAGCCGCGGUAAUACGUAGGUGGCAAGCGUUGUCCGGAAUUAUUGGGCGUAAAGCGCGCGCAGGCGGUCUCUUAAGUCUGAUGUGAAAGCCCACGGCUCAACCGUGGAGGGUCAUUGGAAACUGGGGGACUUGAGUACAGAAGAGGAAAGUGGAAUUCCACGUGUAGCGGUGAAAUGCGUAGAUAUGUGGAGGAACACCAGUGGCGAAGGCGACUUUCUGGUCUGUAACUGACGCUGAGGCGCGAAAGCGUGGGGAGCAAACAGGAUUAGAUACCCCUGGUAGUCCACG
This 762-nucleotide ribosomal RNA is filed under the name Bacillus sp. CH33. Its description in RNAcentral is "bacterial SSU rRNA". It matches the Rfam family "Bacterial small subunit ribosomal RNA", at positions 56 to 799 of the family's 1533-position model. The record is from RNAcentral. Lineage: Bacteria; Bacillati; Bacillota; Bacilli; Caryophanales; Bacillaceae.